CCCUUAGAUGUUCUGGGUCGCACGCGCGCUACACUGAUGCAUUCAACGAGCCUAUCCUUGACCGACAGGUCCGGGUAAUCUUUGAAUCUGCAUCGUGACGGGGAUAGAUUAUUGCAAUUAUUAAUCUUCAACGAGGAAUGCCUAGUAGGCGCAAGUCAUCAGCUUGCGUCGAUUACGUCCCUGCCCUUUGUACACACCGCCCGUCGCUCCUACCGAUUGGGUGUGCUGGUGAAAUGUUCGGAUCGGCCGUUUGUCGCGGUUUCCGCGUCAUGUGGCUGAGAAGUUCAUUAAACCCUCCCACCUAGAGGAAGGAGAAGUCGUAACA
This 325-nucleotide ribosomal RNA is filed under the name uncultured eukaryote. Its description in RNAcentral is "partial 18S ribosomal RNA". It matches the Rfam family "Eukaryotic small subunit ribosomal RNA", at positions 1470 to 1796 of the family's 1831-position model. The record is from RNAcentral.